UACGUGUGGACCAAGCGUUGUUCGGAAUUACUGGGCUUAAAGGGUUCGUAGGCGGUUUUGUAAGUCAGGGGUGAAAGUCGGUGGCCCAACCAUCGAAUUGCCUUUGAUACUGCAAGACUUGAGUGUGCUAGGGGGAAGCGGAACGUUUGGUGUAGCGGUGAAAUGCGUAGAUAUCAAACGGAAGGCCGGAGGCGAAGGCGGCUUCCUGGGGCACAACUGACGCUGAGGAACGAAAGCGUGGGGAGCAAACAGG
RNAcentral lists this ribosomal RNA (253 nucleotides) under uncultured bacterium. RNAcentral's name for it is "partial 16S ribosomal RNA". It matches the Rfam family "Bacterial small subunit ribosomal RNA", at positions 524 to 776 of the family's 1533-position model. The record is from RNAcentral.